GAGAAUGUAGAGCAUAGAACAUAUAACAACCUGAGUGAAGAAUUACAGGAAAUUGGAGUCUACCGCUGCACCCUUUCAUUCUUGUAUUUUGGUCAAGUAUACAAUGCCUCCUUCAGAGAAGUACUUUCUGUCCCAGUUGCAGUAAAGAAUCAGCUCACCCUUGGAAUCAAAGUACCAAGGGACGGUCAAGUGUUUGAAGUAGAACUUGGUGCAACAGUGGUGAUUAGUUGUAGAGC
This is a long non-coding RNA of Cyprinodon variegatus (sheepshead minnow), 236 nucleotides long. RefSeq lists it as uncharacterized. The record is from RefSeq and is a predicted model, not a curated record. The transcript has 3 exons. Lineage: Eukaryota; Metazoa; Chordata; Actinopteri; Cyprinodontiformes; Cyprinodontidae.